This 378-nucleotide RNase P RNA is filed under the name Acidobacteriota bacterium. RNAcentral describes it as "RNase P RNA component class A". It matches the Rfam family "Bacterial RNase P class A". Rfam says of the family: Ribonuclease P (RNase P) is a ubiquitous endoribonuclease, found in archaea, bacteria and eukarya as well as chloroplasts and mitochondria. Its best characterised activity is the generation of mature 5'-ends of tRNAs by cleaving the 5'-leader elements of precursor-tRNAs. RNAcentral also lists the same sequence under 1 other name. Lineage: Bacteria; Pseudomonadati; Acidobacteriota. The record is from RNAcentral.
CAAGCCAGGUGGCCGCGGACGACCCGCGUCGCGCCGCGCUCCGACGCCCGCGAGGCGCCGUUCGAGGAAAGUCCGGACACCGCAGAGCAGGGCGCUGGCUAACGGCCAGCCGGGGAAACCCGAGGGAAAGCGCAACAGAGAGCAGACCGCCAGCGGCCUCUUCGGAGGUGCGGGCAAGGGUGAAACGGUGAGGUAAGAGCUCACCAGCGGUCCUGGUGACAGGCCGGCUCGGCAAGCCCCGCCCGGUGCAAGGCCAAAUAGGGGGGCGUUCGAGGGUCGCUCGCCCGAGCCCCCGGGUCUCGGCCGCACGAGCCGUCCGGUGACGGACGGCCUAGAUGGAUGGCCACCCACGACAGGAUCCGGCUUACGGCUUGCUGA